Molecule: ribosomal RNA, 505 nt
Filed under: uncultured bacterium
Lineage: Bacteria
Description: partial 16S ribosomal RNA
Rfam family: Bacterial small subunit ribosomal RNA
Source: RNAcentral
GACGAACGCUGGCGGCGUGCCUAAUACAUGCAAGUAGAACGCACAGUUUAUACCGUAGCUUGCUACACCAUAGACUGUGAGUUGCGAACGGGUGAGUAACGCGUAGGUAACCUGCCUGGUAGCGGGGGAUAACUAUUGGAAACGAUAGCUAAUACCGCAUAAUAUUGAUUAUUGCAUGAUAAUUAAUUGAAAGGUGCAAUUGCACCACUACCAGAUGGACCUGCGUUGUAUUAGCUAGUAGGUGAGGUAACGGCUCACCUAGGCGACGAUACAUAGCCGACCUGAGAGGGUGAUCGGCCACACUGGGACUGAGACACGGCCCAGACUCCUACGGGAGGCAGCAGUAGGGAAUCUUCGGCAAUGGACGAAAGUCUGACCGAGCAACGCCGCGUGAGUGAAGAAGGUUUUCGGAUCGUAAAGCUCUGUUGUAAGAGAAGAACGGGUGUGAGAGUGGAAAGUUCACGCUGUGACGGUAUCUUACCAGAAAGGGACGGCUAACUACGUG